UGCAACGAGUGCUGGCAAGGAGGU
RNAcentral lists this non-coding RNA (24 nucleotides) under Mus musculus (house mouse). Lineage: Eukaryota; Metazoa; Chordata; Mammalia; Rodentia; Muridae. The record is from RNAcentral.